AAUAGCUUUAGGGCUAGCCUCGGCAGAGAUACGUGGAGGUAGAGCACUGAAUUUCCUAGGGGGCGUCAAAGCCUACCGAAGAAUAUCAAACUCCGAAUGCCAUGAUAUUGCUUGCCGGGAGUCAGACUAUACGAGAUAAGUUGGAUAGUCAAAAGGGAAAGAGCCCAGACCUCCAGCUAAGGUCCCAAAGUGCGUGUUAAGUGGAAAAGGAUGUGGGAUCUCUAAGACAACCAGGAUGUUGGCUCAGAAGCAGCCAUGCAUUCAAAGAGUGCGUAAUAGCUCACUGGUCGAGAGGUCCUGCGCCGAAAAUGUCCGGGGCUGAAACACGACACCGAAGCUGAGGAAUCGAAAGAUUGGUAGAGGAGCAUUGCAUAAGGGAAGAAGCAGUACCGGAAGGAGCUGUGGACUUUAUGGAAGAGAGAAUGCCGGAAUGAGUAGCGAGAAUGAGGUGGGAAUCCUCAUGGCCGAAUAUCCAAGGUUUCCAGGGUAAAGCUGAUCUGCCCUGGGUAAGUCGGGGCCUAAGGCGAGGUCGGAAGACGUAGCCGAUGGACAACAGGUUGAGAUUCCUGUACUGCAGUAUGACAGAACUGUGGGGACACGUGUGGAGAGCAUAGCCGCGGAAUGGAAAGCCGCGGGCAAGCGAGGUAGGAGUCACAUAGGAAAAACCGUGUGGCAAUCCAAAGGCGUGAUGCGGAGCGAACUGAAGUAGCGAAGUAUGUGAGCCAUGCGUCGAGAAAAGCCGCUAUUGUUCAUACUGUACCCGUACCGUAAACCGACACAGGUGGAUGAGGAGAGAAUCCUAAGGCCGGCGGAAGAAGCAUUGUCAAGGAACUCGGCAAAAUGACCCCGUAACUUCGGGAGAAGGGGUGCCAGGGAGACCUGGCCGCAGAGAAUAGGCUCAAGCAACUGUUUAGCAAAAACACAGGUCUAUGCAAAACCGAAAGGUGAGGUAUAUGGGCUGACGCCUGCCCGGUGCUGGAAGGUUAAGAGGAGAGGUUAGCGCAAGCGAAGCUUUGAAUUUAAGCCCCAGUAAACGGCGGCCGUAACUAUAACGGUCCUAAGGUAGCGAAAUUCCUUGUCGGGUAAGUUCCGACCCGCACGAAAGGCGUAAUGAUUUGAGCGCUGUCUCGACAAUGCAUCCGGUGAAAUUGAAGUACCAGUGAAGAUGCUGGUUACCUGCGCCAGGACGGAAAGACCCCAUGGAGCUUUACUCCAGCUUGAUACUGGGAUUCGGUAUUGCAUGUACAGGAUAGGUGGGAGGCAAAGAAGAGGUGACGCCAGUUGCCUUGGAGCCGGUGUUGGGAUACCACCCUUGCAGUAUUGGGUUUCUAACCAGCCGCCGUGAACCGGCGGUGGGACAAUGUCAGGCGGGGAGUUUGACUGGGGCGGUCGCCUCCGAAAGGGUAUCGGAGGCGCUCAAAGGUUCCCUCAGAAUGGUCGGAAACCAUUCGAAGAGUGCAAAGGCAGAAGGGAGCUUGACUGCGACACCGACGGGUGGAGCAGGUACGAAAGUAGGACUUAGUGAUCCGGUGGUAUUAAGUGGGAAUGCCAUCGCUCAACGGAUAAAAGCUACCCUGGGGAUAACAGGCUUAUCACUCCCAAGAGUUCACAUCGACGGAGUGGUUUGGCACCUCGAUGUCGGCUCAUCGCAUCCUGGGGCUGUAGUAGGUCCCAAGGGUUGGGCUGUUCGCCCAUUAAAGCGGUACGCGAGCUGGGUUCAGA
Molecule: ribosomal RNA, 1722 nt
Filed under: metagenome
Description: bacterial LSU rRNA
Rfam family: Bacterial large subunit ribosomal RNA
Source: RNAcentral